This 496-nucleotide ribosomal RNA is filed under the name uncultured bacterium. Its description in RNAcentral is "partial 16S ribosomal RNA". It matches the Rfam family "Bacterial small subunit ribosomal RNA", at positions 29 to 507 of the family's 1533-position model. The record is from RNAcentral.
AUGAACGCUGGCGGCGUGCCUAAUACAUGCCAGUCGAGCGAACAGACGAGGAGCUUGCUCCUCUGACGUUAGCGGCGGACGGGUGAGUAACACGUGGAUAACCUACCUAUAAGACUGGGAUAACUUCGGGAAACCGGAGCUAAUACCGGAUAAUAUAUUGAACCGCAUGGUUCAAUAGUGAAAGACGGUUUUGCUGUCACUUAUAGAUGGAUCCGCGCCGCAUUAGCUAGUUGGUAAGGUAACGGCUUACCAAGGCAACGAUGCGUAGCCGACCUGAGAGGGUGAUCGGCCACACUGGAACUGAGACACGGUCCAGACUCCUACGGGAGGCAGCAGUAGGGAAUCUUCCGCAAUGGGCGAAAGCCUGACGGAGCAACGCCGCGUGAGUGAUGAAGGUCUUCGGAUCGUAAAACUCUGUUAUUAGGGAAGAACAAAUGUUUAAGUAACUAUGCACGUCUUGACGGUACCUAAUCAGAAAGCCACGGCUAACUACGUG